UACAGAGGGUGCAAGCGUUAACCGGAAUUACUGGGCGUAAAGCGUGCGUAGGCGGUUAUCUAAGUCGGAUGUGAAAUCCCCGGGCUCAACCUGGGAAUUGCAUUCGAUACUGGAUAGCUAGAGUUCGGCAGAGGGAAGUGGAAUUUCGGGUGUAGCGGUGAAAUGCGUAGAUAUCCGAAGGAACAUCAGUGGCGAAAGCGACUUCCUGGACCAGAACUGACGAUCAGGCACGAAAGCGUGGGGAGCAAACAGG
RNAcentral lists this ribosomal RNA (253 nucleotides) under uncultured bacterium. RNAcentral describes it as "partial 16S ribosomal RNA". It matches the Rfam family "Bacterial small subunit ribosomal RNA", at positions 524 to 776 of the family's 1533-position model. The record is from RNAcentral.